AGCGAACGCUGGCGGCAGGCCUAACACAUGCAAGUCGAGCGCCCGUAGCAAUACGGGAGCGGCAGACGGGUGAGUAACACGUGGGAACGUGCCCUUUGGUUCGGAAUAACUCAGGGAAACUUGAGCUAAUACCGGAUAAGUCCGUAAGGAGAAAGAUUUAUCGCCGAAGGAGCGGCCCCGCGUCCGAUUACGACGUACGUUAGGUUGGGGGUAAGGGUUAAGGUCCCGGACCCCCAAACCGGAACGGUACCGUAACGUACGGUUACGGGUACGUCGGUUCGGCGUAGGAAGGGAAGGUAGUACCGAACCGACCGACCCAACCUACGGGUACGGGUACGUAGGAACGAACCGGACCCCGGACCCGAACGUACCCUUACCCGGGUAAC
Molecule: ribosomal RNA, 386 nt
Filed under: uncultured bacterium
Lineage: Bacteria
Description: partial 16S ribosomal RNA
Rfam family: Bacterial small subunit ribosomal RNA
Source: RNAcentral